UGCAACCGUGGUAUUAGAGACCAUGAUAAUAUUUACUUAUGGCUUCAGUAAGACUGUAACUCAUUGAGCAGUUAGAUGUGACUGCUCUUCUUUCUACAGGCUGGUGGGAAUGGGGCAAAUGGUCUCUGUUCCCCCUGGAACACGGUUCCUUUUUAUGGAUGGAACAGGAUACAGCUAAGAUCUCUGGGAGCAAAAAAGAAGAGGGUUGCCCUGCCUUGUAUGGAGCAGUUGCUUCAAAUUAAUUCCUUGGACAUCAGCCUAGGCCUCCAGACAAAGAUGUCAUUUAGAAUGAAAGCCUGGGCGUUUCUUCAUUAAGAUCUUGUUCAGGAUGAAGGUCUUUUGAAGUGGGAAAACAUGGCCUAAUUUAGGCAGCAUCUUCCAGUGGCAGCCCAGAUGAAAGGAGGUUGGGGAAAAGAAGAUUUGCGUUUUGCCUGUUUACCUUGUCUCCCACUGUCAAGUUCAUCUACCCUGCUGCCAUUGACAUUAGAACCUAGCUUCUUGGGGCUCCCAACCUGGAAAACCUGUUGUUCUCCAGGAAUCCUCCAGGCCUUCAGCAUCAGGUUGUAACCACUGAGGCACCCAACCUCAAGGGCCAAACAGCUACCCAGUUCUCAGCUUCUCCAGUAUAAAGACAGCCAUCAUGAGACUACCAAGAACACAUCACAUGAAACAAUCUAAUAAAUCUUCAUUUAAUAUCUA
This is a non-coding RNA of Peromyscus maniculatus bairdii (prairie deer mouse), 699 nucleotides long. Lineage: Eukaryota; Metazoa; Chordata; Mammalia; Rodentia; Cricetidae. The record is from RefSeq and is a predicted model, not a curated record.